GUAGGGGAGCAAGCGUUGUUCGGAAUUAUUGGGCGUAAAGAGCGCGUAGGCGGGCCAGGGUAAGUCUGGGUGUGAAAAUCCCACAGCUCAACUGUGGAACUGCAUUGGAAACUGCUUGGCUAGAGUGCGGGAGAGGAGAGUGGAAUUCCCAGUGUAGAGGUGAAAUUCGUAGAUAUUGGGAGGAACACCAGUGGCGAAGGCGGCUCUCUGGACCGCAACUGACGCUGAGGCGCGAAAGCUAGGGGAGCGAACGGGAUUAGAUACCCCGGUAGUCCUAGCCGUAAACGAUGGGCACUAGGUGUAGGAGGUAUCGACCCCUUCUGUGCCGUAGCUAACGCAUUAAGUGCCCCGCCUGGGGAGUACGGUCGCAAGACUA
This 376-nucleotide ribosomal RNA is filed under the name uncultured organism. RNAcentral's name for it is "partial 16S ribosomal RNA". It matches the Rfam family "Bacterial small subunit ribosomal RNA", at positions 526 to 896 of the family's 1533-position model. The record is from RNAcentral.